AUGAUGCUGGGGCUUGCGGGGGGGCUGGCGCCAUCGGAUCCUUUCCGCUUAUCCAGAGUUGGAGAGGCCUGGACUGUGAUCUUGUGCUCAAAGCCUGCAGAAAGAGAAGCUUUCCUAAGCAAAUGGUUCCAUGGGUAACCAAAGGGAAGUUUCCACUGUAGAAGCAGAGAAGGAAUUCUAGAAUGGGAACACUGCCAUUUUCAUUCCUUAAUGCAGUGGUUCUCAGAGUGCGGGCCCCAGACCAGCAGCAUUACCAUCAGCUGAAAAUGUCUUGGCGAGGCAACUUUUUGGGCCCUCCCUGAAUCAGCAAGUUGGGGCUGGAGUGCAAUGGUGCGAUCUUGGCUCGCCACAUCCUCUGUCUCCUGGGUUCGAUUCUCCUGCCUCAGCCCCCAGAGUAGCUGGGAUUACAGAGAUAGGGUCUUGCUCUGCUGCACAGACUGGAGUCCAGUGGUGUAAUCACAGCUUACUGCAGCCUUCAACUCCUGGACUCAAGUGAUCCUCCCACCCCAGCCUCCCCGGUAGCUAGGACUCUAAGUACAUGCCAACAUGCCCAGCUGAUUUUUUUUUAAAUAUGGGGUCUACAUUGCCCAGUCUGGUCUCAAAUUCCUGGCCUCGCCAGUAGGCUGAUGCUACAGGUGCUCGCCACUGCACUGGGCUGAUCAUUGACUAUGUGUGAUAU
Molecule: long non-coding RNA, 679 nt
Organism: Callithrix jacchus (white-tufted-ear marmoset)
Lineage: Eukaryota; Metazoa; Chordata; Mammalia; Primates; Cebidae
Source: RefSeq, a predicted model, not a curated record